This 254-nucleotide ribosomal RNA is filed under the name uncultured bacterium. Its description in RNAcentral is "partial 16S ribosomal RNA". It matches the Rfam family "Bacterial small subunit ribosomal RNA", at positions 15 to 257 of the family's 1533-position model. The record is from RNAcentral.
GAUCCUGGCUCAGGAUGGACGCUGGCGGCAUGCCUAAUACAUGCAAGUCGAACGGACCGAAGGGAAAGCUUGCUUUUCCUGAAGUCAGUGGCGAACGGGUGAGUAACACGUAGGUAACCUGCCCAUGUGCCCGGGACAACGCCUGGAAACGGGUGCUAAAACCGGAUAGGUAAAGAGAUCGCAUGAACUUUCUAUUAAAGGGGCUACGGCCCUGAACAUGGAUGGAACUGCGGUGCAUUAGCUAGUUGGUGAGG